UGUAUCUGCAGUUAGUUGUGUACAACUCACGUGGCUAGAACAAAAGCAAAUACAUAACUAUUAACUAUUGAGACUACACACCAGUACACUUUAAUGGUAAAUUUAAUUGGGACGGAUUAGCCGGAUUAAUUACUGAAGCAAUAUAGAGAAAUUCAUCCGGAAGCAAUGAAUAACUUAGAGUAUACAUAUUAGUAUUUAAAAACCUAAUUUGCUACGUCAUUAAUAUGCUUAAUCAGUGUUUCUAUUCAAUUGGAAAUGGCUGUACUCUAUUGAAUGAAUACCUACAUAAACAGUCUAUAGAAUUUCACUUUAGUCUAUGAGGAUCAUAAUCAACGACGCGAGUCGAUGAUAUGAGUUUGUUCUUGAAAGCAUUAGCGCGUUUAAAUAAAAUAUAAUACUAAUAUUUACGCCAACUUAUUAUGUUUAUUAUAUCUAGAAUAGUCUAUAUAUAUAUAAAUGUGUUUAAUUAUACAUUAUAUGCAAUUUUAUUCUCUAAAAAACAAACAUUUAGAGUUCGGUUAUAAGUAUGUCAGUACAAGAUCGAAUGAUAGGACGGAAAGAAUGAUUCGCAUAGCUUGGAAAACCAGCUGAUACUCAUUUAUUUAUCAGACAAUCUGUGAAACUGGUGUGAUAUUAAACGUUUCCGUUUACUAUUAUUUCUUAUUAAAUUAAUAAUUAAAUGAAACUAAAUAAAGCGAUGUGAUAUACUUUAUCGUACACACUUUCCACGGAGACUUCGUCGGAGCAUAAAAUAAAAUACAAAAGUGCAAAUAAGAUCAAGUCUGAAGAAGAGAAACCAUCGACUUACAUUUUUAACGCUAAUUGCAAAGUUAAAUUACAAUAACGAUACCUGAUAUUCACUAUUUUUUUAUUUAUUACCAUAAAAACAUUAAGCGUUUUCGGUAUCGGUGACAAUAAACUUUCACAUAAAAUUUUUAACUACUAGAAAUUGAUAUGAAAUUUAAAUAUGUAUGUUAACAAAAUUUAUGUUUACAUCUCUUUUUUAAAUAUCUUUUCCCUUUUUUCUUUCAAAUUUUACGACUUUUUUAUUUUACAAUUAUUUUUUUCUAUCACGAUCAAACUGACAUGUUACAAAAACGAUUGAUACAUGUUAUUUGAUAAAAAACGAAACAAAUAAUUGGAAAAAAACUGGUAAAUAAUAACGUAGUAAGAAGGAGAUUGAUACUACAACACGCACGUGUCAAUGCGGUCCGAUGGACCGGUUGUCAACUGCAAUAAAGUUCGGAUGUGCGGAGGAGUAAAGAGUCUGUAAUCUUCAAAAGCCCCCACUCGGUUAUACUCCCGCCUCAACUUUUGCAUCCCCUUCUGGCACGUGAAGAACGCGUUCAACACUCUGCGCAGCUUUUGAUUUCAUCCCGGAUUUAAAUUAUGUUAAAAAUCAGUUAGCACAGGUUUUCAUCUUACAAAUUUAUCGCUUCACGAGAGUAAAAACUACCGAGAAAUAAUUCUUCCAAGCACUUUGAGUUGAUUAAUUUAAUCAUCCGUGUUAAGAUCAUCUGAUUUAAGAUUAUGAACUCUAAAUCAUAAUUGCAAGAUAGACUACAAAAAUUUCUCAGUUUAAAUUAAUUGUUUAAUUAAUAAUGUCAAAUACUAAUUAAUAUAAUGAUAAUAUGUCUGGAUACUUAUUUAUGCUUAAGUGAUUUAUUUACCCUUUACAAUAAAUAAAACUGUAUGUAUUUAUUUAUAUUAUUUACAGCUAGAUUAAGAUUUAUGUACUUUACUCAUCCACUUCAACAUCAAUUAUUAAAUUAAAUAUAGUCGAGGUAAGGCUUUCUUAAACGUUUAUGUCUCACGUGUGAAUUAAAUGUGAAGAAAAUAGACAAUUUUAAAUUGGAGUGAUGCCAAAAUCAUUUUGGAAGCUAAGACUAUUGAAUAUUUCAUAAUUUACAAGAGACAAACAAACAAGUAUGUUUAAAAUUUUAAUAAAUAAACAUACACAUAAAACAUGACGAUUAAAAUUUACGAGAGAUUUUAUUAUCUUAAAAACUAAUUGAAAAUGAAUUCGUUACCUUAUUAUUCAAAGUCUGUUUACUGUCAAGUUUAAUGCUUCAUUUAUAAGAUCGAUUCAAUUCACUAGAGCGUACCAAAUUGUUGACACAAACUAGUUGAAUAUUUAAAUUGAUACCGAUUAAUAUUUUAUAGAGUACCUUAUAAGGUACUUAUA
Molecule: long non-coding RNA, 2185 nt
Organism: Cotesia glomerata
Lineage: Eukaryota; Metazoa; Arthropoda; Insecta; Hymenoptera; Braconidae
Exons: 3
Source: RefSeq, a predicted model, not a curated record